AAUAGAUACCCGGGUAGUCCACGCCGUAAACGGUGGGCGCUAGGUGUGGGGGACUUUCCACGUCCUCUGUGCCGCAGCUAACGCAUUAAGCGCCCCGCCUGGGGAGUACGGCCGCAAGGCUAAAACUCAAAGGAAUUGACGGGGGCCCGCACAAGCGGCGGAGCAUGUGGCUUAAUUCGACGCAACGCGAAGAACCUUACCAAGGCUUGACAUGCAGAGAAAUCUCGUAGAGAUACGGGGUCCGCAAGGGCUUUGCACAGGUGGUGCAUGGUUGUCGUCAGCUCGUGUCGUGAGAUGUUGGGUUAAGUCCCGCAACGAGCGCAACCCUUGUCCUAUGUUGCCAGCGAGUAAUGUCGGGGACUCAUAGGAGACUGCCGGGGUCAACUCGGGAGGAAGGUGGGGAUGACGUCAAAUCAUCAUGCCCCUUAUGUCUUGGGCUGCACACAUGCUACAAUGGUCGGUACAAAGGGCUGCGAGACCGCAAGGUGGAGCGAAUCCCAAAAAAGCCGACCUCAGUUCGGAUUAGGGU
This 529-nucleotide ribosomal RNA is filed under the name uncultured bacterium. RNAcentral describes it as "bacterial SSU rRNA". It matches the Rfam family "Bacterial small subunit ribosomal RNA", at positions 777 to 1304 of the family's 1533-position model. The record is from RNAcentral.